CCACAAUCCCAUUUGUCCAGAAAACAAAGUAAUGGCGACGACGACGAGUUGUUCGCUUCUCCUUUCUACUCUCUUCCUUCACCACUCUCCUCCUUCACCUCAACUCUCCAACUCAUCUUCCUUCUUCAAUCUCUCUCCUUCUCUAUCUUCUCCUCCGACUUCGAUUUCUCUCUACCCUAUCCGAUCCAAACGCUAUUUCCGAAUUUUCUCCUCCAAGCUUCCACUAAACGACAACAGCGGAGACGAUGAUGCUCUUCUUCUUACUCCCUUCUCCGCCGUGAAACCUUUCUUCCUCCUCUGCACCUCCGUCGCGUUGUCUUUUUCUCUGUUCGCCGCGUCUCCUGCCGUCGAAUCCGCUUCGGCGUUUGUAGUCAGUACUCCCAGGAAGCUUCAGACUGAUGAGCUCGCGACUGUUCGAUUGUUUCAAGAGAACACUCCUUCCGUUGUUUACAUCACUAAUCUCGCCGUCAGGCAGGACGCGUUUACAUUGGACGUGCUUGAGGUUCCUCAAGGUUCUGGUUCAGGAUUUGUGUGGGAUAAGCAAGGUCACAUUGUUACUAAUUAUCAUGUGAUUCGUGGUGCUUCUGAUCUCAGGGUUACUCUUGCUGAUCAGUCAACAUUUGAUGCAAAAGUUGUUGGAUUUGACCAAGACAAGGAUGUUGCAGUUCUACGUAUUGAUGCACCGAAAGAUAAGUUAAGACCUAUACCUGUUGGAGUCUCUGCUGAUCUGCUUGUUGGCCAGAAAGUUUUUGCCAUCGGAAAUCCUUUUGGACUUGAUCAUACUCUUACAACUGGUGUUAUAAGUGGUUUGCGAAGAGAAAUUAGUUCUGCUGCAACUGGUCGUCCAAUUCAAGAUGUGAUACAGACAGAUGCAGCCAUUAACCCUGGUAACAGUGGAGGACCUCUUCUAGAUAGUUCAGGAACCCUAAUAGGUAUAAACACAGCCAUUUAUUCUCCUUCUGGUGCAUCUUCUGGAGUGGGCUUUUCGAUCCCAGUUGACACCGUUGGAGGCAUUGUCGAUCAGUUGGUGAGAUUUGGUAAAGUCACGAGACCAAUCUUAGGUAUCAAAUUCGCACCAGACCAAUCUGUUGAACAAUUGGGAGUAAGUGGCGUGCUCGUCUUGGAUGCUCCUCCAAGUGGCCCAGCUGGGAAAGCCGGACUUCAAUCUACGAAACGUGAUGGUUACGGGAGACUAGUACUUGGAGACAUAAUCACGUCAGUGAAUGGUACAAAAGUCUCUAACGGGAGUGAUCUGUACCGGAUUCUCGAUCAAUGCAAAGUCGGUGAUGAGGUGACCGUAGAGGUUCUAAGAGGCGAUCACAAGGAGAAAAUAUCUGUAACUCUCGAACCAAAGCCGGACGAGUCUUAGAAACGUCGUUAAGAAUGGUGGUGAUGAGAAUUUCGUAGUGUCGUGAAGAAGCAUUUUCUCCAUGACUUAGCUGAUAUGGGACUUUGGACUUCAACACUGAAAAACAAAUUAAUUAAUGAGAAUGGUUCUAUAGUAAAUAUUGGGGAGAUACCUGAUCACUUGAAGGCGAUUUACAAAUAUAGCUUCCAGUUAUUUUGUGUGUUUGAGUCACUACUGUCUAGACAUAUAGAUUUAACUUGUUUCUUCUAAAAGCCAACACAGAACUAUCUGGGAAAUCAAACAAAGAACAGUGGUGGACAUCGCUGUUGGUCGUGGAUGCUACAUAGAUCAAAGCCAAAGCUUAAACAUACACUUGGAAAAACCAACAUAUGAGAAACUAACUCACCUACACAUAUAUGGUUGGAGACAGGGUUUGAAGGCUGGGAUGUACCGCCUGCGUUCAUGCAUGCCCGCUGGAUGAUGGUUUUCUCCUCGACACACCCUGAUCACAAGAGGUUAAAAUCGUUCUUCUAAAUCUUGCUUAGUUUCUGAUACGCGUUCCUAUUAUUUCAUUCUCUUGACUUAGAGUAGUUUUUUUUUUUUCAUUUUUUUUUUCACAAGAGUUCUUACUUUAUUACAAAUUAGGCCACUACGAAGAAGCCUACAGUGGAAGAAUCCACUUUACUUUUAUUUUUAAAAAAGAGAAGCAAACUAUUACAAUAGCGGAAGAAACUCUAUGUAGAGUUUUGAUAUCAAACAAACUUGUUUUAUUCACAUUCAUAAGAAGAGUAUUUAUACAGGAGACACACCAUAAACGAUAAGCUCUAUUGAUGAAACCAGUUUUUCGUUUGGCUUGGAGAGCGUUGAGCAUCUCCGUUGCCCACUCAUUGUAGUUAUCAUCGGUUUACAAAAUAGAUGAGAUCAUAGCCUCGGGGUUGUCGGAACUAGACAAAGUAUAAGGAGACACCACCGGUGCAUCUGGUAGCUGUACUUCAGACCCAGAUUUGAGAGCGGAAGCACUACUUUCUUCUUCG
Molecule: RNA transcript, 2382 nt
Organism: Camelina sativa (false flax)
Lineage: Eukaryota; Viridiplantae; Streptophyta; Magnoliopsida; Brassicales; Brassicaceae
Gene name: protease Do-like 1, chloroplastic
Source: RefSeq, a predicted model, not a curated record